GACGAACGCUGGCGGCGUGCCUAAUACAUGCAAGUCGAACGCUGAAGGAGGAGCUUGCUUCUCUGGAUGAGUUGCGAACGGGUGAGUAACGCGUAGGUAACCUGCCUGGUAGCGGGGGAUAACUAUUGGAAACGAUAGCUAAUACCGCAUAAGAGUAGAUGUUGCAUGACAUUUGCUUAAAAGGUGCAAUUGCAUCACUACCAGAUGGACCUGCGUUGUAUUAGCUAGUUGGUGGGGUAACGGCUCACCAAGGCGACGAUACAUAGCCGACCUGAGAGGGUGAUCGGCCACACUGGGACUGAGACACGGCCCAGACUCCUACGGGAGGCAGCAGUAGGGAAUCUUCGGCAAUGGACGGAAGUCUGACCGAGCAACGCCGCGUGAGUGAAGAAGGGUGUCGGAUCGUAAAGCUCUGUUGUAAGAGAAGAACGAGUGUGAGAGUGGAAAGUUCACACUGUGACGGUAUCUUAACAGAAAGGGACGGCUAACUACGUG
This 495-nucleotide ribosomal RNA is filed under the name uncultured bacterium. RNAcentral describes it as "partial 16S ribosomal RNA". It matches the Rfam family "Bacterial small subunit ribosomal RNA", at positions 28 to 507 of the family's 1533-position model. The record is from RNAcentral.